RNAcentral lists this ribosomal RNA (811 nucleotides) under Brachybacterium sp. Dr32MM. RNAcentral describes it as "bacterial SSU rRNA". It matches the Rfam family "Bacterial small subunit ribosomal RNA", at positions 109 to 938 of the family's 1533-position model. The record is from RNAcentral. Lineage: Bacteria; Bacillati; Actinomycetota; Actinomycetes; Micrococcales; Dermabacteraceae.
CCUUGAACCUGGGUAACCUGSCCCCCACUCUGGGAUAACCUCGGGWWAUCGGGGSUAAUACCGGAUAUGAGCUCCUGCCGCAUGGUGGGUGCUGGAAAGUUUUUCGGUGGGGGAUGGACUCGCGGCCUAUCAGUUUGUUGGUGAGGUAAUGGCUCACCAAGGCGAUGACGGGUAGCCGGCCUGAGAGGGCGACCGGCCACACUGGGACUGAGACACGGCCCAGACUCCUACGGGAGGCAGCAGUGGGGAAUAUUGCACAAUGGGCGAAAGCCUGAUGCAGCGACGCCGCGUGGGGGAUGACGGCCUUCGGGUUGUAAACCUCUUUCAGUAGGGAAGAAGCGAAAGUGACGGUACCUGCAGAAGAWGYKCCKKYUAACUACGUGCCAGCAGCCGCGGUAAUACGUAGGGCGCAAGCGUUGUCCGGAAUUAUUGGGCGUAAAGAGCUUGUAGGUGGCUUGUCGCGUCUGCCGUGAAAACCCGAGGCUCAACCUCGGGCGUGCGGUGGGUACGGGCAGGCUAGAGUGUGGUAGGGGAGACUGGAACUCCUGGUGUAGCGGUGAAAUGCGCAGAUAUCAGGAAGAACACCGAUGGCGAAGGCAGGUCUCUGGGCCAUUACUGACACUGAGAAGCGAAAGCAUGGGGAGCGAACAGGAUUAGAUACCCUGGUAGUCCAUGCCGUAAACGUUGGGCACUAGUGUGGGGAACAUUCCACGUUUUCCGCGCCGUAGCUAACGCAUUAAGUGCCCCGCCUGGRGGAGUACGGCCGCAGGCUAAAACUCAAAGGGAUGACGGGGGCCGYACAGCGCGGAGC